Mus musculus (house mouse) is the source of this 5636-nucleotide RNA transcript. It is a transcript of the gene named serine/threonine kinase 36, with no coding region annotated. The transcript has 27 exons. NCBI's taxonomy places the organism in Eukaryota, Metazoa, Chordata, Mammalia, Rodentia, Muridae. The record is from RefSeq and is marked validated.
AACUGAAGACUCUAGAUCCUUUGUGGGGCCUGCUAGCCAAGCGACAGAAGUGCCCUACAAAGUGCCAAUGGGCGGUUCGCAUCUGUCACACACCUCUGAGAGCUUUGUCCUUUAAACUUCUAAUCAGUUCCAGGGAGUAAAACUGGCCUCCCAGAUGUGUGGAACUACCCCUGGAUCUAUAGCUCUUUGUCACCGUCUUCUUUCUACCUUCUGAGAGACCCCGAAACCCUUGCCAUGGAAAAGUACCACGUUUUGGAGAUGAUUGGAGAAGGCUCUUUUGGGAGAGUGUAUAAGGGCCGAAAAAAAUACAGUGCUCAGGUGGUGGCCUUGAAGUUCAUCCCCAAACUGGGGCGCUCAGAGAAAGAGCUGAGGAAUCUGCAACGAGAGAUUGAAAUCAUGCGGGGUCUGUGGCAUCCCAACAUUGUGCAUAUGCUCGACAGCUUUGAGACUGACAAAGAGGUGGUGGUGGUGACAGACUACGCUGAAGGAGAACUCUUUCAGAUUCUGGAAGAUGAUGGAAAACUUCCUGAAGACCAGGUUCAGGCCAUCGCUGCCCAGUUGGUGUCAGCUCUGUACUACCUGCAUUCCCACCGCAUCCUACACCGCGACAUGAAACCGCAGAACAUUCUUCUCGCCAAGGGUGGUGGCAUUAAACUUUGUGACUUUGGAUUCGCCCGAGCUAUGAGCACCAACACCAUGGUGCUGACGUCGAUCAAAGGCACACCGCUCUAUAUGUCUCCAGAGCUGGUGGAGGAGCGACCAUAUGACCACACCGCAGACCUCUGGUCUGUGGGCUGCAUCCUGUAUGAGCUGGCUGUCGGCACGCCUCCCUUCUACACCACCAGCAUCUUUCAGCUGGUUAGCCUCAUUCUCAAGGACCCUGUGCGCUGGCCCUCCACCAUUAGUUCCUGCUUCAAGAACUUCUUGCAGGGGCUGCUCACCAAGGACCCCCGGCAGCGUCUGUCCUGGCCAGACCUCUUACAUCACCCCUUUAUUGCCGGCCGUGUCACCAUCAUAACUGAACCAGCAGGCUCCGAUUUGGGCACCCCAUUUACUAGUCGCCUACCCCCAGAACUUCAGGUCCUCAAGGAUGAACAGGCGCAUCGGCUCGCACCCAAGGGUAACCAGUCUCGCAUCCUGCGCCAGGCCUGUAAACUCAUGGCUGAAGAAGCCAAGCAGAAGGAAGACCAAAAUGCAGGAUCUGCCCUUGAACAAGAAGACGGGCUCUGCAAGGUGACACCCAGCACAGCCCCCGUGCCUGGACUAAAGGCCACUCCUCAGGAGUCAAGCCUCUUGGCUGGUAUACUGGCUUCAGAAAUGAAGAACAACUGGGAAGACUGGGGGGCUGGAGAAGCACCCCGUACCUCUCGGGAAAACCACAUCAACCUGGAGUGUGAACAAGGCUUCCCAGAGCCGAGGCCAGAGGCGAUGGGCCGGCAGAGCACUGAUGUAGUGGAUCCUGAAAAUGAGGAGCCAGACAGUGAUGAUGAGUGGCAACGCCUACUAGAGACCAGCGAGCCUGGGCCUGUGCAGCUGAAGUCCCCCCUCACCCUGUUGUGUAACCCUGACUUCUGCCAGCGCAUCCAGAGUCAGCUGCGCGGGACUGGCGAGCAGAUCCUGAAAGGCGUUCUGGAUGGUGUGUCCCACCUCCUUCCUGUACUCCGCAUCCUGAGUAGUCUCCUAUCCAGCUGCAAUGACUCUGUGCUCUUGUAUUCCUUCUGCCAGGAGGCAGGACUGCCUGAGCUGCCUCUCAGCCUUCUUAGGUACAGCCAGGAGAGUAGCAGCAUCCAGCAGUUUUAGUGAUAGUAAGACGGACCACAUCAGCCUGGAUGCCCCCUCUGCUGCUGAGUGACAGACUCGCAACCUUGGUAUGGGGCGCUCUUACGGGACCUGGUGGCUGUGGUUCAGGCCUACUUUUCGUGCACCUUCAAUCUGGAGAGGAGCCAGACAGGUGACAGCCUACAGGUGUUUCAGGAGGCCGCCAGCCUCUUUUUGGACCUGUUGGGGAAGCUGCUGGCCCAAUCAGAUGAUUCCGAGCAGACAUUUCGAAGGGAUAGCCUUAUGUGCUUUGCUGUCUUGUGUGAAGCUGUGGACGGAAACAGCUGGGCCGUCUCCAAAGCCUUCUACUCCAGCCUGUUGACCACACAGCGCGCUGUGUUGGAUGGCCUCCUUCACGGCCUGACAGUCCCACAGCUUCCUUUCCACACACCACCAGGAGCCCCACAAGUGAGCCAGCCGCUGCGGGAGCAGAGUGAAGAUGUACCUGGAGCCAUCUCUUCUGCCCUGGCAGCCAUGUGUACUGCUCCUGUGGGGCUGCCCAGCUGUUGGGAUGCCAAGGAGCAGGUCUCUUGGCAUUUGGCCAACCAGCUAACUGAAGACAGCAGCCAACUGAGGCCAUCCCUCAUCUCUGGUCUGCGACACCAUGUCCUGUGCCUCCACCUUCUCAAGGUUCUCUACGCCUGCUGCUAUAUUAGUGAGCGCCUGUGCCAUAUUCUGGGGCAAGAGCCCCUGGCCUUGGAGUCGCUGCUGAUGUUAGUCCAGGGCAAGGUGAAAGUAGCAGAUUGGGAAGAGUCCACUGAGGUGGCACUUUACCUCCUGUCCCUUCUUGUCUUUCGGCUCCAAGAUCUGCCUUCAGGGAUGGAGAAGCUGGGCAGUGAGGUUGCUACUCUCUUUACCCACUCACAUGUCGUCUCUCUUGUGAAUGCGGCAGCCUGUCUCUUAGGACAGCUUGGUCAGCAAGGGGUGACCUUUGACCUCCAGCCCCGGGAAUGGAUUGCUGCAGCUGCACAUGCCUUGUCUGCCCCUGCAGAGGUCCGGCUGACUCCGCCGUAUAGUUGUGGCUUCUAUGAUGGCCUCCUCAUUCUCCUGCUUCAGCUUCUUAUGCAGGGGAAGCCUGGCCUGAUCAGGGAUGUGGUUGGUUCAGAGGUGUGGACCAUUCUGUGGCACCGCUUUUCCAUGGCCCUGAGGCUGCCCGAGGAGGUGUCUGCCCAGGAAGACGACCUGCUACUAUCAAGUCCCUCCAGCCUAGAGCCAGACUGGACACUGAUUUCACCCCAAGGCAUGGCAGCCUUGCUGAGCCUGGCCAUGGCCAUCUUCACCCAGGAGUCCCAGUUAUGCCUGAGCCACCUGUCCCAGCAUGGCAGUGUCCUCAUGCUGACCCUGAAGCACCUGCUUUCACCCAGCUUCUUGCACCACCUGAGCCAGGCGCCGCAGGGGCCCGAGUUUCUCCCCGUUGUGGUGCUCUCCGUGUGCAAGCUGCUCUGCUUCCCUUUUGCCCUGGAUGUGGAUGCUGACCUCCUUGUAGGUGUCUUGGCUGACCUCAGGGCCUCGGAAGUGGUAGUCUGCCUGCUGCAGGUACAUGGAGGAGUUCCCCCUGUUCACUGGUCUUUUAUCUGGUUCUAUUGGAACUCCGCCAAGAGGCCAGGUACUGGAGCACAGCUCCUUGGUCAGGAAUUACUGCCCUACACUCUUUAGUGUUAGACCUUGGAUCUUUGGAGGCAGAAAUUGUGCCUCUGCAGAGCCAGGUGUAAGUGUAGAAAGAAUCUGCUCUUGGGCUCCAAUUUGGUUUCAUGUUUUAUGCUAUGGGGAAAGGCUCUGCUGCCUUGAAGAUUUCUUUCCUUGGCUUGGCAUUUCUUUCUGCCAGCUUUUGCUCUCCUUUGCCAUUGCAGAAUAUACCUCUCCCUCUUGCCUGAAUGCUCAUUUCUUCCAGGUCUGCUGCCACCACCUUUCGUUGUUACAAGCAGAGCUGCCCAUUGGCCUCCUUACACGCCUGGCCCUCACGGAUUCUGCCUCUCUCAAGCAGUUUGUGAACACAGUGGCCACCUCUUCUAGAGCCAUCAUCUCAUUCCUCUCUGUUGUUCUCCUGAGUGACCAGCCCCUCAUGAUCUCUGACCUCCUGUCCCUGCUGACACACACAGCCCGGAUUCUGUCCCCCAGCCACUUGUCCUUUAUCCAAGAGCUCCUGUCUGGCUCUGAUGAAUCCUAUCGGCCAUUGCGCAGCCUCCUAGGCCACUCAGAGAACACUGUGCGGGUCCGUGCAUAUGGGCUCCUGGGACAUUUAUUACAGCACAGCAUGGCCCUACGUGGGGCACUACAGAGUCAGUCAGGACUGCUCAACCUUCUGCUGCUAGGGCUUGGAGACAAGGACCCUGCCGUGCGACGCAGUGCCAGCUUUGCUGUGGGCAAUGCAGCCUACCAGGCUGGGCCUUUGGGACCUGCCUUGGCAGCUGCAGUGCCCAGUAUGACCCAGCUGCUUGGAGAUGCUCAGGAUGGGAUCCGGCGCAAUGCUGCAUCAGCUCUAGGCAAUCUGGGACCUGAAGGAUUGGGCAAGGAGCUAUUAAAGUGCCAAGUACCCCAGCGGCUCCUAGAAAUGGCAUGUGGAGACCCUCAGCCAACUGUCAAAGAGGCUGCCCUCAUUGCCCUUCGAAGCCUCCAACAGGAGUCCUGUAUUCAUCAGGUGCUGGUGUCGCUGGGUGCCAGUGAGAAGUUAGCCUUGCUCUCUUUGGGGAAUCAGUUACUGCCGAAUAGCAGCAACAGGCCUGCCUCCGUCAGACACUGCAGGAAGCUCAUCCAACUCCUGAGGCCAACCCACAGCACAUGAGCCCGCACUCCUGGGGUUACCUCCAGCCUUCACUGUCCUACUGUUGCCAAGAUUUCCUUAUUCUCCUACCCAAGCUACUAACUCAGCCAAGAGCUGAUGAGACUGAGAAAGAGUGCUGAGCUGCCAACUCCCCUCCAAGUGAGAAACUAGAAGAGAUUUUCUUAUUAAAGCUUCCUUUCCCUAGACUUAUGAUGACUUGAAUCAGUAAACUUCAUCACUGUUGGUGCCAGAGAAAAUCCCUUCCUCUCUACACGUAGGGAUCUUUCCUCCAGUAAUGGGCCCUCAACCCCAGGACCAUGCCAUCCACCCAGGCCUUAAGGGAAAAAACUACCUCUGCCUUACUGGCUCUCCUGUAAUCUGCCCGGCUACUUUUGCCUUAAGUACACUACUGACCUCUGUUUCAGCUCUGCCCCAUGGGGAUAAAUGUCAUUACCCCUAUUGUUGAGGGGUUCCUCAGCUCGUAGCCUACCUGAAGCUCCCAAGGUAAGGGGUGGGAAGCUUGGGCCCUUUUCUAGCUUCUCUGACACCGGAAGCCCUGUACCCUGUUCACACAAGAUCCUGGUUUAGAGAAUUGUUUAUACCUUUCAAGGAAAGGCCAGUGGAGCUAAUACAGACACGACUGGGGCUAAACAGAGGUAAAGCAAGGUGCUUUGAGAUAAUACAGUCAUUUUAGUAUUUAAUGCAGUGUCAAUGGAUAUGGAACCCUAGCUGCUUUGAAAAUUUAUGGAGACUGGCGUUUACCAGAAAAAAGUGUUUGACUGUCCCAUUAGUUAGACUCGAAUGUAACCAGUUUACCUGAAAGGUCGUUGGGCAGACACAUUAGAAUCUAACUGCAUGUGUAUUAGGAAGCUUGACUGAGAUAAGCUUCCAGGUCCCCGAUUUCUCCAUCCAGUAAAAGGAGAGGCUCCUCUUGGUACCGCUCAGCGAUCAGUGCUUGCUCCUAGGUAUGGGGUGCUCGGGUUCAGUCCCCAGCUGAUGGGAGGGGGAGAAAGGUGCCUUUCUGUCCUUCCUUAAUUAAAGGUUUUAAGAAAUGAAA